This 212-nucleotide ribosomal RNA is filed under the name uncultured bacterium. RNAcentral's name for it is "partial 16S ribosomal RNA". It matches the Rfam family "Bacterial small subunit ribosomal RNA", at positions 1289 to 1500 of the family's 1533-position model. The record is from RNAcentral.
CAGUUCGGACUGUAGGCUGCAACUCGCCUACACGAAGUCGGAAUCGCUAGUAAUCGCGGAUCAGCAUGCCGCGGUGAAUACGUUCCCGGGCCUUGUACACACCGCCGUCACACCAUGGGAGUUUGUAACGCCCAAAGUCGGUGGCCUAACCUUUAUGGAGGGAGCCGCCUAAGGCGGGACAGAUGACUGGGGUGAAGUCGUAACAAGGUACC